Molecule: transfer RNA, 72 nt
Filed under: Camelus bactrianus (Bactrian camel)
Lineage: Eukaryota; Metazoa; Chordata; Mammalia; Artiodactyla; Camelidae
Also listed under: 1 other name
Rfam family: tRNA
About the family: Transfer RNA (tRNA) molecules are approximately 80 nucleotides in length. Their secondary structure includes four short double-helical elements and three loops (D, anti-codon, and T loops). Further hydrogen bonds mediate the characteristic L-shaped molecular structure. tRNAs have two regions of fundamental functional importance: the anti-codon, which is responsible for specific mRNA codon recognition, and the 3' end, to which the tRNAs corresponding amino acid is attached (by aminoacyl-tRNA synthetases). tRNAs cope with the degeneracy of the genetic code in two manners: having more than one tRNA (with a specific anti-codon) for a particular amino acid; and 'wobble' base-pairing, i.e. permitting non-standard base-pairing at the 3rd anti-codon position.
Source: Rfam by way of RNAcentral
GAGGAUAUAGCUCAGUGGUAGAGUGCACGCUUAGCGCGCACAAGGUCCUGGGUUUGAUCCCCAGUACCUCCA